Molecule: transfer RNA, 66 nt
Filed under: Chlorocebus pygerythrus (vervet)
Lineage: Eukaryota; Metazoa; Chordata; Mammalia; Primates; Cercopithecidae
Description: tRNA-Lys
Source: RNAcentral
AAAUGCACUGCACAGCUAUUGUAGCGUUAACCUUUUAAGUUAAAAAUUGAGGGAGAAUACCCUCUG